AAAACAACGACUCAGGCUGCGUGACUCCUACAUCACAACAUUGAACGUGUGUCAAGCCUACACCCUAAAGCGUAUUCGUGACCCAGACUACAGUGUCACACCAAGGCCUCACAUUUCCAAGGAAUACAUGGAAGCAAAACCAGCUACAGAACUUGUGAACCUGAACCCGACUAGCGAAUAUGCACCUGGCUUGGAGGACACACUCA
RNAcentral lists this unclassified non-coding RNA (206 nucleotides) under Hevea brasiliensis (rubber tree). The record is from RNAcentral. Lineage: Eukaryota; Viridiplantae; Streptophyta; Magnoliopsida; Malpighiales; Euphorbiaceae.